Molecule: ribosomal RNA, 256 nt
Filed under: uncultured bacterium
Lineage: Bacteria
Description: partial 16S ribosomal RNA
Rfam family: Bacterial small subunit ribosomal RNA
Source: RNAcentral
UACGUAGGGUGCAAGCGUUAAUCGGAAUUACUGGGCGUAAAGCGUGCGCAGGCGGCUAUGCAAGACAGAUGUGAAAUCCCCGGGCUCAACCUGGGAACUGCAUUUGUGACUGCAUAGCUAGAGUACGGUAGAGGGGGGAUGGAAUUCCGCGUGUAGCAGUGAAAUGCGUAGAUAUGCGGAGGAACACCGAUGGCGAAGGCAAUCCCCUGGACCUGUACUGACGCUCAUGCACGAAAGCGUGGGGAGCAAACCGAGG